CCUGAGUUCAGAAGGUUUGCUGUGCGAAAGUCAGCUUUCCUUCAUUUUUAUCUCUAGGGAUCUAUGUAUUCUUAUAUACUCCUAAUGAAUGUAACAGAAUGUUAUAUUGAUUUUGAAACACAAUAUAUACAACUUUCAACAAUGGAUCUCUUGGCUCUCGCAUCGAUGAAGAACGCAGCGAAAUGCGAUAAGUAAUGUGAAUUGCAGAAUUCAGUGAAUCAUCGAAUCUUUGAACGCACCUUGCGCUCCUUGGUAUUCUGAGGAGCAUGCCUGUUUGAGUGUCAUUAAAUUUCUCAAUCCUCCUUUUUGUCUCAAUUGGAUAAAAUGGGUUGGCUUUGGACUUAUGGGAGUUGCAGGCUUAUUUAUAAAAGUCAGCUCUUCUAAAAAGUAUUAGCUUGAACAUGUUUUGAGAACUUGAAAGUCUAGCAAUUUGGUGUGAUAAUUAUCUACGCCAUUUGCUUAAAUCUCUAUUGAACUGUUUAGCUUCAAACACGUCCUGGUCUUUUUAGACUUAUUACUUUUGAUAAUUUGACCUCAAAUCAGGUAGGACUACCCGCUGAACUUAAGCAUAUCAAUAAGCGGAGAAAAGAAGCUAGCAAGC
RNAcentral lists this ribosomal RNA (601 nucleotides) under Clitocybe sp. BAB-5238. Its description in RNAcentral is "eukaryotic LSU rRNA". The stretch from base 131 to 284 matches the Rfam family "5.8S ribosomal RNA". Lineage: Eukaryota; Fungi; Basidiomycota; Agaricomycetes; Agaricales; Clitocybaceae. The record is from RNAcentral.